GCUACUAUGGCGAAAUAGGCAGCACGCUUCGGUCUUAAAAACCGAUGGGGCAACCCGUGCCAGUUCGAGUCUGGCUAGUAGCA
Molecule: non-coding RNA, 83 nt
Organism: Ruminococcus callidus ATCC 27760
Lineage: Bacteria; Bacillati; Bacillota; Clostridia; Eubacteriales; Oscillospiraceae
Source: Rfam